GAUUAAGUUAUUAAGGGCGCACGGUGGAUGCCUUGGCACUAGAAGCCGAAGAAGGACGUUACUAACGACGAUAUGCUUUGGGUAGCUGUAAGUAAGCGUUGAUCCAGAGAUUUCCGAAUGGGGGAACCCAACAUGAGUUAUGUCAUGUUAUCGACAUGUGAAUUCAUAGCAUGUCAGAAGGCAGACCCGGAGAACUGAAACAUCUUAGUACCCGGAGGAAGAGAAAGAAAAAUCGAUUCCCUGAGUAGCGGCGAGCGAAACGGGAAGAGCCCAAACCAACAAGCUUGCUUGUUGGGGUUGUAGGACACUCUAUACGGAGUUACAAAAGAACAUGUUAGACGAAUCAUCUGGAAAGAUGAAUCAAAGAAGGUAAUAAUCCUGUAGUCGAAAACAUAUUCUCUCUUGAGUGGAUCCUGAGUACGACGGAGCACGUGAAAUUCCGUCGGAAUCUAGGAGGACCAUCUCCUAAGGCUAAAUACUCUCUAGUGACCGAUAGUGAACCAGUACCGUGAGGGAAAGGUGAAAAGUACCCCGGAAGGGGAGUGAAAGAGAACUUGAAACCGUGUGCUUACAAGUAGUCAGAGCCCGUUUAUGGGUGAUGGCGUGCCUUUUGUAGAAUGAACCGGCGAGUUACGAUCUGAUGCAAGGUUAAGCAGCGAAUGUGGAGCCGUAGCGAAAGCGAGUCUGAAUAGGGCGUUGAGUAUUUGGUCGUAGACCCGAAACCAGGUGAUCUACCCUUGGUCAGGUUGAAGUUCAGGUAACACUGAAUGGAGGACCGAACCGACUUACGUUGAAAAGUGAGCGGAUGAACUGAGGGUAGCGGAGAAAUUCCAAUCGAACUUGGAGAUAGCUGGUUCUCUCCGAAAUAGCUUUAGGGCUAGCCUCAAGUGAUGAUUAUUGGAGGUAGAGCACUGUUUGGACGAGGGGCCCCUCUCGGGUUACCGAAUUCAGACAAACUCCGAAUGCCAAUCAAUUUAACUUGGGAGUCAGAACAUGGGUGAUAAGGUCCGUGUUCGAAAGGGAAACAGCCCAGACCACCAGCUAAGGUCCCAAAAUAUAUGUUAAGUGGAAAAGGAUGUGGCGUUGCCCAGACAACUAGGAUGUUGGCUUAGAAGCAGCCAUCAUUUAAAGAGUGCGUAAUAGCUCACUAGUCGAGUGACACUGCGCCGAAAAUGUACCGGGGCUAAACAUAUUACCGAAGCUGUGGAUUGUCCUUCGGACAAUGGUAGGAGAGCGUUCUAAGGGCGUUGAAGCAUGAUCGCAAGGACAUGUGGAGCGCUUAGAAGUGAGAAUGCCGGUGUGAGUAGCGAAAGACGGGUGAGAAUCCCGUCCACCGAUUGACUAAGGUUUCCAGAGGAAGGCUCGUCCGCUCUGGGUUAGUCGGGUCCUAAGCUGAGGCCGACAGGCGUAGGCGAUGGAUAACAGGUUGAUAUUCCUGUACCACCUAGUAUCGUUUUAAUCGAUGGGGGGACGCAGUAGGAUAGGCGAAGCGUGCUGUUGGAGUGCACGUCCAAGCAGUAAGGCUGAGUGUUAGGCAAAUCCGGCACUCGUUAGGCUGAGCUGUGAUGGGGAGAGGAAAUUGUUUCCUUGAGUCGUUGAUUUCACACUGCCGAGAAAAGCCUCUAGAUAGAUAACAGGUGCCCGUACCGCAAACCGACACAGGUAGUCAAGAUGAGAAUUCUAAGGUGAGCGAGCGAACUCUCGUUAAGGAACUCGGCAAAAUGACCCCGUAACUUCGGGAGAAGGGGUGCUCUUUAGGGUUCACGCCCAGAAGAGCCGCAGUGAAUAGGCCCAAGCGACUGUUUAUCAAAAACACAGGUCUCUGCUAAACCGUAAGGUGAUGUAUAGGGGCUGACGCCUGCCCGGUGCUGGAAGGUUAAGAGGAGUGGUUAGCUUCUGCGAAGCCACGAAUCGAAGCCCCAGUAAACGGCGGCCGUAACUAUAACGGUCCUAAGGUAGCGAAAUUCCUUGUCGGGUAAGUUCCGACCCGCACGAAAGGCGUAACGAUUUGGGCACUGUCUCAACGAGAGACUCGGUGAAAUCAUAGUACCUGUGAAGAUGCAGGUUACCCGCGACAGGACGGAAAGACCCCGUGGAGCUUUACUGUAGCCUGAUAUUGAAAUUCGGCACAGCUUGUACAGGAUAGGUAGGAGCCAUUGAAACGUGAGCGCUAGCUUACGUGGAGGCGUUGGUGGGAUACUACCCUAGCUGUGUUGGCUUUCUAACCCGCACCACUUAUCGUGGUGGGAGACAGUGUCAGGCGGGCAGUUUGACUGGGGCGGUCGCCUCCUAAAAGGUAACGGAGGCGCUCAAAGGUUCCCUCAGAAUGGUUGGAAAUCAUUCACAGAGUGUAAAGGCAUAAGGGAGCUUGACUGCGAGACCUACAAGUCGAGCAGGGUCGAAAGACGGACUUAGUGAUCCGGUGGUUCCGCAUGGAAGGGCCAUCGCUCAACGGAUAAAAGCUACCCCGGGGAUAACAGGCUUAUCUCCCCCAAGAGUUCACAUCGACGGGGAGGUUUGGCACCUCGAUGUCGGCUCAUCGCAUCCUGGGGCUGUAGUCGGUCCCAAGGGUUGGGCUGUUCGCCCAUUAAAGCGGUACGCGAGCUGGGUUCAGAACGUCGUGAGACAGUUCGGUCCCUAUCCGUCGUGGGCGUAGGAAAUUUGAGAGGAGCUGUCCUUAGUACGAGAGGACCGGGAUGGACAUACCUCUGGUGUACCAGUUGUCGUGCCAACGGCAUAGCUGGGUAGCUAUGUAUGGACGGGAUAAGUGCUGAAAGCAUCUAAGCAUGAAGCCCCCCUCAAGAUGAGAUUUCCCAACUUCGGUUAUAAGAUCCCUCGAAGAUGACGAGGUUAAUAGGUUCGAGGUGGAAGCGUGGUGACACGUGGAGCUGACGAAUACUAAUCGAUCGAAGACUUAAUCAA
RNAcentral lists this ribosomal RNA (2922 nucleotides) under Legionella pneumophila. RNAcentral describes it as "23S ribosomal RNA". It matches the Rfam family "Bacterial large subunit ribosomal RNA". RNAcentral also lists the same sequence under 4 other names. Lineage: Bacteria; Pseudomonadati; Pseudomonadota; Gammaproteobacteria; Legionellales; Legionellaceae. The record is from RNAcentral.